AGGCCCAACCGCGGCAAGGGUCUUGGCGGUCUGGUCGGUGUACUCCUUCUUACUGGCCUGCUAAGUCCCAAGCCGCGGUGGGCCCUGU
RNAcentral lists this microRNA precursor (88 nucleotides) under Biston betularia (pepper-and-salt moth). RNAcentral's name for it is "microRNA bib-mir-193 precursor". Its record names the gene bib-mir-193. Lineage: Eukaryota; Metazoa; Arthropoda; Insecta; Lepidoptera; Geometridae. The record is from miRBase by way of RNAcentral.